RNAcentral lists this long non-coding RNA (1248 nucleotides) under Monodelphis domestica (gray short-tailed opossum). RNAcentral's name for it is "lncRNA (ENSMODG00000042326.1)". The record is from RNAcentral. Lineage: Eukaryota; Metazoa; Chordata; Mammalia; Didelphimorphia; Didelphidae.
AAAUAAUAUGGUUACUAAUGAACAACUGGUUAUGUUGAUUAAUUUGAUACCUAUUUAUAAUUUUCAUAUUUAUGUAAAUUUUAUAUUAUCUGUUUAUGUACCAUAUGUGUAGUAAUAACUAUAUAUAAUAUCAAUUAAAUGAUUGACUAUUCCUUAAACUAUUCUAUUCAUUAAUUCACUGGGUAUCGACCCAAUGAAUUGAAUGGAAAUUACAGUUAUCCAACCAUUUCCUCACCCAUGAGCCCACAAACUCUUCCAAAACUUGCAGCUCUCCAUCUUCCCCAAACCGCCUGGUAACUGGAGCUGUUAUUUCCAGGAGAGAAUCACUGAUUCCUUUUGUUCGGGGUAGGAAAAGGCACAGCUGUAAAAAGGAUUUUCGGGUGGGAUUUUGCCGCAGCUGGAGAGGGAGGAGAUGAAGCCAUGAUUUGUAGCCAACGGAACAAGUGUUUAUGAUAAUUUAGGCAUGGGAGGAAAUCACUUGCAAGCUUCUUUCAACUUGCUUUGCCCACAUUGUGGAUUGUCCAUGUGUUGUUUGUGUGAGGAGUAGAAAUCCCCGCGUUCUUUUAUUAAGCAUAAAAUGAAAAGAAGUCCAGCAUUCACAGUCAAACAUGUUGAAACAGGAACUGACAAGAUGACAUGGUUUUUUCAAUAUCUUUUGAUGCUAGCCUUCGAUCCGGAGUUCCUCUGUGUCUGUUUAGGGCAGGCUCUCCUGGCUAAUCCAUCUCCGCCAUGUCCUGGAGGCAUUAGCCCCGAAGGAAAAGCCCCAGCUCGAGUCUAGGGAGCGGGGUAAGGAGGGCAUUUAGUUUCACUUUUGUGCGGUUGAAUCCGCACCUCUCGGCGGAAGAAUGUGAAUGAUAAUGGCCCCUCCGGGAAGCCGAAAAACUGGAGCCUCGGGAACACAAUAGGCAGGGGUGACCCCAGUGUUAUGGAAAUGACGGAGCAGCCAGCCCCGAGGCCGGAUUACCCAAGGGGCCUGGCUUCUCCCCUCUCUCUCCCACCGAGAGGGCACAAUGACUGGACAAUCCCAUUGUGUCGCCGGCAUUCCAACCCGCCCCCCGCCCGCCGCCCGCCCCAAAGGUGAAUGCCGGAGGUAAAGCGGCCUGCGCUGGGGCGGAGGAUUGACCAUUCAGAUCCUGGGAGAGAUCCCUUUACGAAAUCCGAAUUUGGUCCUUGUUCCUCCAUGGCGGGAAGAUUUUCCAUUUGCAUUUGGGAGUUGGGCUUCCGAGCAUUUGGGAAAUAAAAGCUGUU